UGGGGAAUAUUGGACAAUGGGCGAAAGCCUGAUCCAGCAAUACCGCGUGGGUGAAGAAGGCUUGAGGGUUGUAAAGCCCUUUCAGCUGGGAGGAAAAGCGCUCGGUUAAUACCCGGGCGUAUUGACGUUACCAGCACAAGAAGCACCGGCUAACUCCGUGCCAGCAGCCGCGGUAAUACGGAGGGUGCGAGCGUUAAUCGGAAUUACUGGGCGUAAAGCGCAUGCAGGUGGUUGGAUAAGUCGGGUGUGAAAGCCCCGGGCUCAACCUGGGAAUGGCAUCCGAUACUGUUUAACUAGAGUUUGGUAGAGGGAAGUGGAAUUUCCGGUGUAGCGGUGAAAUGCGUAGAUAUCGGAAGGAACACCAGUGGCGAAGGCGACUUCCUGGACCAAAACUGACACUGAGGUGCGAAAGCGUGGGUAGCGAACAGGAUUAGAUACCCCCGUAGUCC
This 449-nucleotide ribosomal RNA is filed under the name uncultured prokaryote. RNAcentral's name for it is "bacterial SSU rRNA". It matches the Rfam family "Bacterial small subunit ribosomal RNA", at positions 355 to 796 of the family's 1533-position model. The record is from RNAcentral.